RNAcentral lists this ribosomal RNA (480 nucleotides) under uncultured bacterium. Its description in RNAcentral is "bacterial SSU rRNA". It matches the Rfam family "Bacterial small subunit ribosomal RNA", at positions 33 to 507 of the family's 1533-position model. The record is from RNAcentral.
GAGACGCUGGCGGCGUGCCUAACACAUGCAAGUCGAGCGGAGUCGAUCGACGGAAGCCUUCGGGCGGAAGAUGGUUGACUUAGCGGCGGAUGGGUGAGUAACGCGUGGGCAACCUGCCUCGAAGACCGGGAUAACAGCCCGAAAGGGCUGCUAAUACCGGAUGUGGUCAAAGAUCCGCAUGGAUUUUGAUUAAAGGGGAAACCCGUUUCGAGAUGGGCCCGCGUCCUAUCAGCUAGUUGGUGAGGUAAAAGCUCACCAAGGCGACGACGGGUAGCCGGCCUGAGAGGGUGACCGGCCACACUGGAACUGAGACACGGUCCAGACUCCUACGGGGGGCAGCAGUGGGGAAUCUUCCACAAUGGGCGAAAGCCUGAUGGAGCGACGCCGCGUGAGCGAAGAAGGCCUUCGGGUUGUAAAGCUCUGUCUGGAGGGACGAAGGAAGUGACGGUACCUCCGGAGGAAGCCACGGCUAACUACGUG